AUUGAACGCUGGCGGCAUGCUUUACACAUGCAAGUCGAACGGCAGCGCGGGCUUCGGCCUGGCGGCGAGUGGCGAACGGGUGAGUAAUGCAUCGGAACGUGCCCAGUAGUGGGGGAUAGCCCGGCGAAAGCCGGAUUAAUACCGCAUACGACCUGAGGGUGAAAGCGGGGGACCGAAAGGCCUCGCGCUAUUGGAGCGGCCGAUGUCGGAUUAGCUAGUUGGUGGGGUAAAGGCUUACCAAGGCGACGAUCCGUAGCUGGUCUGAGAGGACGACCAGCCACAGUGGGACUGAGACACGGCCCAGACUCCUACGGGAGGCAGCAGUGGGGAAUUGUGGACAAUGGGGGCAACCCUGAUCCAGCCAUGCCGCGUGCGGGAAGAAGGCCUUCGGGUUGUAAACCGCUUUUGUUCGGGAAGAAAUCCUCUGGGCUAAUACCCCGGGGGAUGACGGUACCGGAAGAAUAAGCACCGGCUAACUACGU
Molecule: ribosomal RNA, 482 nt
Filed under: uncultured bacterium
Lineage: Bacteria
Description: partial 16S ribosomal RNA
Rfam family: Bacterial small subunit ribosomal RNA
Source: RNAcentral